AUCGAACGCUGGCGGCAGGCCUAACACAUGCAAGUCGAGCGGAUGAAGGGAGCUUGCUCCUGGUUUCAGCGGCGGACGGGUGAGUAAUGCCUAGGAAUCUGCCUGGUAGUGGGGGAUAACGUCCGGAAACGGGCGCUAAUACCGCAUACGUCCUGAGGGAGAAAGUGGGGGAUCUUCGGACCUCACGCUAUCAGAUGAGCCUAGGUCGGAUUAGCUAGUUGAUGGGGUAAAGGCCUACCAAGGCGACGAUCCGUAACUGGUCUGAGAGGAUGAUCAGUCACACUGGAACUGAGACACGGUCCAGACUCCUACGGGAGGCAGCAGUGGGGAAUAUUGGACAAUGGGCGAAAGCCUGAUCCAGCCAUGCCGCGUGUGUGAAGAAGGUCUUCGGAUUGUAAAGCACUUUAAGUUGGGAGGAAGGGCAGUAAGUUAAUACCUUGCUGUUUUGACGUUACCAACAGAAUAAGCACCGGCUAACUUCGUG
RNAcentral lists this ribosomal RNA (484 nucleotides) under uncultured bacterium. Its description in RNAcentral is "partial 16S ribosomal RNA". It matches the Rfam family "Bacterial small subunit ribosomal RNA", at positions 30 to 507 of the family's 1533-position model. The record is from RNAcentral.